Molecule: transfer RNA, 82 nt
Organism: Microsporidia sp.
Lineage: Eukaryota; Fungi; Microsporidia
Rfam family: tRNA
About the family: Transfer RNA (tRNA) molecules are approximately 80 nucleotides in length.
Source: Rfam
GGUCAGAUGGCCGAGUGGUCUAAGGCGUGGCGUUAAGGCCGCCAUCUCUUCGGGGGCGCGAGUUCGAACCUCGCUCUGAUCA